Molecule: ribosomal RNA, 888 nt
Filed under: Beauveria pseudobassiana
Lineage: Eukaryota; Fungi; Ascomycota; Sordariomycetes; Hypocreales; Cordycipitaceae
Description: partial 28S ribosomal RNA
Rfam family: Eukaryotic large subunit ribosomal RNA
Source: RNAcentral
AGAAACCAACAGGGAUUGCCCCAGUAACGGCGAGUGAAGCGGCAACAGCUCAAAUUUGAAAUCUGGCCCUCGGGUCCGAGUUGUAAUUUGUAGAGGAUGCUUUUGGCGAGGUGCCUUCCGAGUUCCCUGGAACGGGACGCCAUAGAGGGUGAGAGCCCCGUCUGGUCGGACACCGAGCCUCUGUAAAGCUCCUUCGACGAGUCGAGUAGUUUGGGAAUGCUGCUCAAAAUGGGAGGUAUAUGUCUUCUAAAGCUAAAUAUUGGCCAGAGACCGAUAGCGCACAAGUAGAGUGAUCGAAAGAUGAAAAGCACUUUGAAAAGAGGGUUAAAAAGUACGUGAAAUUGUUGAAAGGGAAGCGCUUAUGACCAGACUUGCGCCCGGUGAAUCAUCCAGCGUUCUCGCUGGUGCACUUUGCCGGGCACAGGCCAGCAUCAGUUUGGCGCGGGGGAAAAAGGCUUCGGGAAUGUGGCUCCCUCGGGAGUGUUAUAGCCCGCUGCGUAAUACCCUGCGCCGGACUGAGGUACGCGCAUCGCAAGGAUGCUGGCGUAAUGGUCAUCAGCGACCCGUCUUGAAACACGGACCAAGGAGUCGUCUUCGUAUGCGAGUGUUCGGGUGUCAAACCCCUACGCGUAAUGAAAGUGAACGUAGGUGAGAGCUUCGGCGCAUCAUCGACCGAUCCUGAUGUUCUCGGAUGGAUUUGAGUAAGAGCAUACGGGGCCGGACCCGAAAGAAGGUGAACUAUGCCUGUAUAGGGUGAAGCCAGAGGAAACUCUGGUGGAGGCUCGCAGCGGUUCUGACGUGCGAAUCGAUCGUCAAAUAUGGGCAUGGGGGCGAAAGACUAAUCGAACCUUCUAGUAGCUGGUUUCCGCCGAAGUUUCCCUCAGGAUA